AGAGCUAUCAGCUUCCCAGUUUGCACAAUUCAUCAAGAAAUUAUGCGGGGUCACUGGCACAAAUGAUGAGGCAUCUCCUGGAAGCUUAACUUCUUAUCCAUCCCAUCUCUUGGACAGAUGAUGCCAGUUAAUUACUUUGAAUGCUCCUCCACCAAGCCAAGGCCAGACUCCUGCAAUCAUAGGAUGGCAACACCACCUCUAAAGCACAGAACUUCAGGCUUUGCUUCGGAAGUGGCACCAUGGUCUCUUCAUUUUCCCUUUCUUCAAGGUGCUGUGGCUCACACCUGUAAUCCCAGCACUUUGGGAGGCCAAGGCGGGUGGAUCACUUGAGGUCAGAAGUUCAAGACCAGCCUGGCCACUUGAACCGAGGAAGAGGUUGCAGUGAGCCAAGGUCAUGCCACUGUACUCCAGCCUGGGCGACAGAG
This 425-nucleotide long non-coding RNA is filed under the name Homo sapiens (human). Its description in RNAcentral is "PREDICTED lncRNA (TCONS_00110317)". Lineage: Eukaryota; Metazoa; Chordata; Mammalia; Primates; Hominidae. The record is from RNAcentral.